This 768-nucleotide ribosomal RNA is filed under the name alpha proteobacterium SCGC AAA003-C09. RNAcentral's name for it is "SSU rRNA". It matches the Rfam family "Bacterial small subunit ribosomal RNA", at positions 56 to 872 of the family's 1533-position model. The record is from RNAcentral. Lineage: Bacteria; Pseudomonadati; Pseudomonadota; Alphaproteobacteria.
UGCAAGUCGAACGAAGUAGCAAUACUUAGUGGCAGACGGGUGAGUAACAUGUGGGUAUCUUCCCUUUGGUGAGGAAUAACACGAGGAAACUUGUGCUAAUACCUCAUAAGUCUUUACGGAGAAAGCUUUAUGCGCCAAUGGAUGAGCCCGCACUUGAUUAGUUUGUUGGUGGGGUAAUGGCUUACCAAGACAAUGAUCAAUAGCUGAUUUGAGAGGAUGAUCAGCCACAUUGGGACUGAGACACGGCCCAAACUCCUACGGGAGGCAGCAGUAGGGAAUCUUGCACAAUGGAGGAAACUCUGAUGCAGCGAUGCCGCGUGAGUGAAGAAGGCCUUUGGGUUGUAAAGCUCUUUCGUCGGGGAAGAAAAUGACUGUACCCGAAUAAGAAGGUCCGGCUAACUUCGUGCCAGCAGCCGCGGUAAUACGAAGGGACCUAGCGUAGUUCGGAAUUACUGGGCUUAAAGAGUUCGUAGGUGGUUAAAAAAGUUGAUGGUGAAAUCCCAGAGCUUAACUCUGGAACUGCCAUCAAAACUUUUUAGCUAGAGUAUGAUAGAGGAAAGCAGAAUUUCUAGUGUAGAGGUGAAAUUCGUAGAUAUUAGAAAGAAUACCAAUUGCGAAGGCAGCUUUCUGGAUCAUUACUGACACUGAGGAACGAAAGCAUGGGUAGCGAAGAGGAUUAGAUACCCUCGUAGUCCAUGCCGUAAACGAUGUGUGUUAGACGUUGGGAAUUUAUUUUCAGUGUCGCAGUGAAAACAAUAAACACACCGC